UACGUAGGGGGCUAGCGUUGUUCGGAAUUACUGGGCGUAAAGGGCUCGUAGGUGGCCAACUAAGUCAGACGUGAAAUCCCUCGGCUUAACCGGGGAACUGCGUCUGAUACUGGAUGGCUUGAGUUUGGGAGAGGGAUGCGGAAUUCCAGGUGUAGCGGUGAAAUGCGUAGAUAUCUGGAGGAACACCGGUGGCGAAGGCGGCAUCCUGGACCAAUACUGACGCUGAGGAGCGAAAGCCAGGGGAGCAAACAGG
RNAcentral lists this ribosomal RNA (253 nucleotides) under uncultured bacterium. Its description in RNAcentral is "partial 16S ribosomal RNA". It matches the Rfam family "Bacterial small subunit ribosomal RNA", at positions 524 to 776 of the family's 1533-position model. The record is from RNAcentral.